This 403-nucleotide ribosomal RNA is filed under the name uncultured bacterium. RNAcentral's name for it is "partial 16S ribosomal RNA". It matches the Rfam family "Bacterial small subunit ribosomal RNA", at positions 30 to 526 of the family's 1533-position model. The record is from RNAcentral.
AUUGAACGCUGGCGGCAGGCCUAACACAUGCAAGUCGAGCGAGCGGCGGACGGGUGAGUAAUGUAUGGGGACUGCCCGAUAGAGGGGGAUAACUACUGUAAACGGUAGCUAAUACCGCAUACUAUCGGAUAACCCAUAUGGGAUUAGCUAGUAGGUGGGGUAAUGGCUCACCUAGGCGACGAUCCCUAGCUGGUCUGAGAGGCUGAUCAGCCAAACUAGGACUGAGACAGGGCCCAGACUCCUACGGAGGAAGCAGUGGGGAAUAUUGCACAAUGGGCGCGAGCCUGAUGCAGCCAUGCCGCGUGUUUGAAGAAGGCCCUAGGGUUGUAAAGUACUUUCAGUCGGGAGGCGUUACCGACAGAAGAAGCACCGGCUAACUCCGUUCCAGCAGCCGCGGUAAUUC